CCUACGGGCGGCAGCAGUGGGGAAUAUUGGGCAAUGGGCGCAAGCCUGACCCAGCAACGCCGCGUGAAGGAAGAAGGCCCUCGGGUUGUAAACUUCUUUUGUCAGGGACGAAACAAAUGAUGGUACCUGACGAAUAAGCCACGGCUAACUACGUGCCAGCAACCGCGGUAAUACGUAGGUGGCAAGCGUUAUCCGGAUUUACUGGGGGGAAAGGGGGUGUAGGCGGGAGAGCAAGUCAGAUGUGAAAGUCCAGGGCUCAACACUGGAACUGCAUUUGAAACUGUUUUUGUUGAGUGAUGGAGAGGCAGGCGAAAUUCCGGGUGGAGCGGUGAAAUGCUGAGAUAUACGGAGGAACACCAGUGGCGAAGGCGGCCUGCUGGACAUUAACUGACACUGAGGCGCGAAAGCGUGGGGAGCAAACAGGAUUAGAUACCCGGGUAGUC
RNAcentral lists this ribosomal RNA (443 nucleotides) under uncultured bacterium. RNAcentral's name for it is "partial 16S ribosomal RNA". It matches the Rfam family "Bacterial small subunit ribosomal RNA", at positions 338 to 795 of the family's 1533-position model. The record is from RNAcentral.